This 2453-nucleotide long non-coding RNA is filed under the name Pan troglodytes (chimpanzee). RNAcentral describes it as "lincRNA". The record is from RNAcentral. Lineage: Eukaryota; Metazoa; Chordata; Mammalia; Primates; Hominidae.
AACUGCCUCACAAGCAUCCCAGAGUCCAGUCAGCAGACAGCAGAGGAGACUGUCAGCAGACCACCUUGGAGGGGAUGCUUGGAGCUGCCUAACGUGCGAUUCAAAGAUGAAUUCCAUGUGUUUGGAGAAGAAGCCCUAGCCUCAACACAAAGGUUGGCCACAUUCCAGCCAAGGUAGCACGGAGUGAAGGCCCAUGGAGGGAGAGCUGGGCUUUUCUGAACUACUUCAGUACACCUUGCUGUGCCUCGGCCUGCCGUGUUUCAUCCCCAUGGCUGUCCUCAGUGAUGUGCAUGGUCACUGCUCCCUUCACCACUGAGAAGACGGGCACAGGACGGUCAGGGGACGUGUCCAAGGUCCCACAGCAGGAAGGGCUGGAGCCAGAAUGUGGUCUGAGAGGCUGGAUAUACAAAGAGACAAUGGUGUGACCAUCUGUACAAAUGGAACUAUGGCCCACAACCUGCAGCAGCCAGCCCAGGAAGCCAACCUGUCACCUGCAGUAGCCAGGAUGGAUGCUGGCCUGCCCUCAGUUGUACUCACAUCAUUGGUCUUAUGGGGAAAUUUUAAGAACUCCCACUUGUAAGGUUUUAUAGCCCUCUAUGGAAUAUUGAAGAAAGAGUAAAAUGCAUCCAAAAAAAAAAACAAAAAACACUAAACUGGAUAAAUUCUAAGGCCUCUUCAGGUCUUAAGAUGGCCAUUUUCUAGGUCCUCUUGCUGCAGCAGUGAAAUCCACAAACACGGGCAAGUCAGUCAGUUACGUGCCUUUCAGAGAAAACUUCUGACUUAGGAACUCCAGCUAUUUGGCCCAACCCAUAUUAGAUUGUGUUAUAAAGACAUGGUAAAUUACAUCACGAAGGGAAGAGCAGAGGAAACAUAAUAUUCCUUCAAGACCCAUCAGCUCAGAUGUUAGCAGAACACCCCUAAGGAGGAAAACAAGAAAUUUUGGGUUUGAACUUGGUGCUUCCCAGCAGCCCUGGGAGUGGGGUCAGAAGCCCUGCUGGGGGGCGAAGAACUCUGAGGAUCAAAGAUGUUGAGCAUCACCUUAGAGGCCAAAGAUCAGAACAGCGGAGGUGGCCUUUGAAGCCCAACCUGUCUUUCACCAGAGAGUGAGAACGGCCUCUAUUUCCAGGAAGCUCACUGCAGCAAUAAUCACGAUGCUCUGAGCCUGACAAGCUGGCUUUGGGGAAGUAAAGGAAACCAGGGAAGAAGGGGCUGAAUUGGUUUCCACCGUGACCUUUGAACCCUCGGGCGAGUUGUCAACCUCACUGAGGAUGAGUGUACUCGAUAUCAAAUGAGGUCACUUUACUCGCAAGCUUGUUGUGAGGACUGAAUGAAACCUUUUCUUUUUUCUUGGAGUUUCAGAGCAAUGUCCCUGAGCCAAGCCCCACACUGGCUUGAGCCCUAUCGUCGGUCAAGACACGGUGCUUUCUCCCCUCCCCUCUGCACUCCAGCUUACUCUGCAGUCAGGAGGUGGCACCAGGAUCCCCUUUAAGACUUUGCCACUUGGGCCAGCUGUGCCCCUGUGAAAUUCCCUGUUUCUAUUGCAGGCCACAAGGACGAGCUGAGAAAUGGCUUCCAGUCACCAUCUAGAUUAGAAAGCCUAUAUUUCAAAUAUAGAGAUAUCAAUUAUGCCUGUAAAAAGACAUUAAAUCCCACAGGGCUGUAAUUCCUAGACUCUACGAAUUUCAUCUUGCACCAAAUUUUAUUAUUUCAUUUAUAAUUCGGAUUCUUCAAAUCUAAGAGUGCCUGGCUCAAAAUUAAAAUACCUACAACUAUGCCAAAACUGGACUCUUUAAUUGCCUUACUGGAACCAGUAGCUGAUUCAAAGCAAAACGAAACAAAAUUCCUCCUUUCUCUGAUUUAGUGAAUCAAUGAUCUAACUGAACUCAUUUUUAGACUGAGUUUGCGGCACUUGCAGCCCUGAGGGACACAUUCCCCCACCACACUGAGCCUGCACUCCCAUCAAUGCAAAUGAACAUUUUGCUUAUUCAGAUUGGGGGGGGUGAAGGAAGUCACAAAAGGGUUAAUAUAUAUGGCAUCUCAUUGUAAUAUGUACUCACUACUAACUAAAUUAAAAGAGAUGUGAGUUAUUAAAAACUCCAUCUUAAGAAAGUAACAGAAAUCAGAGUUCAGAUUCGUUGUUACUGAGUUUCCAACCAACACCUGUGAGUUAAACCUACGGCCACCCUGAAAACGGUUCAUAUUUUCAAAAGCUUCAUCGAAGAUGAGCUGCACUAAAGAUUCAUAUUACAUAUCAUGCUGCAAUAAGAAAAUCAAAUAAGGCCUUUCCAUAUUCAAUAAUAAAGUUUAAAGAAAAGUAAUAUUUGUUUAGCCAGUUAGCCAGAAAUUAGAUGUAUCAGAAUACAUCAUUCUUUGAGCAUUUUAGAAAAUCAGGGUAUUUCUACAUUGUGUUUUUCUUUGUAAGCCCUCAAAAAAUAUAGAGAAUAUUCUUGAAA